RNAcentral lists this transfer RNA (81 nucleotides) under Pleurotus ostreatus (oyster mushroom). It matches the Rfam family "tRNA". From Rfam's summary of the family: Transfer RNA (tRNA) molecules are approximately 80 nucleotides in length. Their secondary structure includes four short double-helical elements and three loops (D, anti-codon, and T loops). Lineage: Eukaryota; Fungi; Basidiomycota; Agaricomycetes; Agaricales; Pleurotaceae. RNAcentral also lists the same sequence under 1 other name. The record is from Rfam by way of RNAcentral.
UGCCCCGUGGCUUAGUUGGUUACGGCGUCCGACUGUUAUGUUGGCAUCGGAAGAUCGAGAGUUCAAGUCUCUCCGGGGCAG